AGCCGCGUCCCAUCUGUGCGGGACCCCACUGGAAAUCGGACUGUUCAACUCACCUGGCAGCCACUCCCAGAGCCCCUGGAACUCUGGCCUAAGGCUCUCUGACUCCUUCCCAGAUCUUCUUGGCUUAGCGGCUGAAGACUGACACUGCCCGAUCACCUCGGAAGCCCCCUAGACCAUCACGGAUGCUGAGCUUCGGGUAACUCGCACAGUGGAAGACCUGUUCCUUCUACCCAAGAAAGAACAGUUAAUGAAGCCACAUGAGCAUCCCUCCCUGCCAACAGGUGUACACCUUAGAGAAGAGACAGACAAGUAUAUGACGUAAUCGGAUAAAUGUCUCGACAAUCUAUUACAGCAGCUCAACAAAGGGCCACCUAAUUGAACCUGGAAGUAUCAGGAAGGCUUCCUGGAAAACGUGAUAGCUAAGUGGAGUUUUUAACAAUAGUAGUAAUAAUAACAACCUUGUUAUUCUAAAUGGUUCAUAUUUAUUUUUUAAUAAAAAAUAUUUCAUAUUUUUUAUUUAUGAAUAAAUAUUUAAUAUUUGCAGCAGCCCCAUGAUCAAUGUACUAUUAUUAUCCAUUUUACAGAUAAGCAGGUGGAGGUAAAAAGGGGUUAAGUUACUUGCCCAAGUCAGUACAGACAGAGAGUGAAAGGGUCAGGAUAUAAAUCUAGUCUAGCCUGAAUCCAUAGCCCAUUUUUAACCACCCACUAUGCUAAAAUCUUUUCUAUUUCAAGCAGAGGAAAGAAGGUGUUCAAUGUGCUGAGAUAUGAGAAAACACCAAGCAUUCAGGGACCUGCAAGCAGGUCAAUAAAGUUAAAGCAUAGUGUAUGAGUAAUGAGUGCCAAAAAUAAGUGUAACUUUAUCAGUAAGAAUUGCAGGCACUGUUGGUUAUAACUUUUGAUUCACGUACACUGCUCAGAAAGACAAAGUUGUGCUGCAAUAACAACACAACUUCAAAAUUUCAGUGGCUUAAAACAACAAAUGUUUAUUUCUUGCUCAUAUGACACAUCCAAUAUGGAAAGUUCUGCUCAUGAGACCCACUUAGAAACCAAGGCUAAUGUGGGCCAUAUCUUAACUCUUGGCUUCCAGGAUUGUUCUGGCAGGAAAAGAGAGAAUUGCGGAAUCAAGCACCCGCAGUUAAAUGCUUUGGCCCAGAAGUGAUGUGUGUCACAUUUCAUUGUCCAAUGCUAGUUACAUGAUGAUACCUAACUUCAAGAGGGCAGGGAAGUACAAUCCCUGUACUUGUACUUUGAAUCUGAGCAGUACUUGAGAUCAGUAACUGCAUACCAUAAGUUAUUGUCUUCAGUAUUGAAAAGUAAUACCAUGCAGCACAUAAAAAUACGAUUUGGGCCGGGCGUGGUGGCUCACGCCUGUAAUCCCAGCACUUUGGGAGGCCGAGGCGGGUGGAUCAUGAGGUCAGGAGAUCGAGACCAUCCUGGCUAACACAGUGAAACCCCGUCUCUACUAAAAAUACAAAAAAUUAGCCGGGAGCGGUGGCGGGCUCCUGUAGUCCCAGCUACUUGAGAGGCUGAGGCAGGAGAAUGGCGUGAACCCAGGAGGCGGAGCUUGCAGUGAGCCGAGAUCGCGCCACUGUACUCCAGCCUGGGCGACAGAGCCAGACGCUGUCUCAAAAAAAAAAAAAAAAAAAAAAAAAUACGAUUUGAAGUCAGACACAAUGAGGUGAGAAUCCCAACUUCACAACUCAUUAGUCUGCGUGAUUCUGAUUAUGGUUCUUAGCCCUCAAAAUUGCAGUUUCUUUUUCUUAAAUAUAGAGACAUUCCCUUUCGAGAUUGCUGUGAGGUUUAAAUGAGAUUAUGUCUAAAAGCUUAGUGCUUAUGACAAAGUAGAAGUCCAAUAAAUGGUGGCUUUAUUUGGAAUUGAUCAAGAAUUUGCAAUUUAGUAAAAGUCAAGAGCAGACUACAAAAAGGAUUGUAGUUGAUUGGAAUCAUCACCAUAGGUUAUAUAACAAAAUAUUCAGUGAAGAAGCAGGAAAUUAUAGUUAAUGUGCAAUAAACCAGGGAUUCUCUUCCUAGUUUCUCAUUUAUAUUAGCCUUUUAAAGCUGCCUAACAAAUUACCAUAAACAUACUGGCUUAAAACAAUUCCUGUGUAUUAGCUUACAGUUUUGUAGGGUGGAAGUCCAAGCAGGGCUCAGUUUUCUGAUCAGUUUCUCACAGGCUGAAAUCAAAGUGUUGACCGGGCUGCAUUCUCAUCUGGAGCUGGGUUCUUCUUCCAGUGUUAUGUCCUCACUGCAGAAUUCAGCUCCUUCCAGUAUGUGAUUGACGUGCCCGUUCCUUGCUGGCUAUUGGUCAGGAGCUGCUCUCAGCAGCUAGAGUUCAUCCACAGUUCCUUGCCACAUGGCCCCCAAAGACAAUCACAAUAUGGUUGUUUGCUUUCUUCCAAGCCAGGAGGUAUUCCUUCUCUCAGACUACAUCCUCUAUGAAUAGCCCUAGAAAACACUCUAAGCUUUUAAAGAGAUCACCUGAUUAGCUCAGGCUCUUUUUUAAAAAAUAUAACAAUUACUGGAGUGAAAUUUCAUAGUAUUCAGAAGUUCCACCCACAUUAAACUGGAGGAUCAUAUGAUGGAGAGAAUCAUUGGCAAUCAUCUGAGAAGUCUGUCUACCACAUCUCUUCACAGCUUUUCCAUGCUGAAGGCAACAAUGUAUUUUAUGACAAACAAUGAUUCACAGAGGUAGUGCAUAGGAGGCAUCUGUGGUAUUUAACACACAAUUCUUAAUCCCAACUAGCCUAGAAUUCCUAGGACUGGGAAACCCACUCCUUAGGGAAAUCAUCACAUAUUUGUUGGAAGGCAAUUCUCCACAUGUCUCUCAUUUCUGCACCUUAUAAGCAUAGGUACCUACUGCUUUGUUCCAUUUCUGCACCUUAUAAGUAGAGGUACCCUUUGUUCUAGACUAUCUUUUCAAGGACAAUUGUAGCACACACAACCUUGAAAGACAGAUACUGUGUCUUCCUCCAGAGCAAAGAACAAAUUUGAUUACUAGUCUGUAUAAUAAUUAUACCUCUUUCCAAAGCAAAGGGCAAGCAUACUUCCUGCCAUUAUAAAAGAUUCAGAUUUCCCGAGUCAGGAUUCCUCUCCUGGAAUAAAGCUCACUGUGAAUAAGACAUCUACCUGGGUCCAUUCACUUCAUCCCUAUGGAACAUGGAAGCAAGGGGAAACUGACCAAACAUGGUGAGAGACUGGCUACUAUUAUUGCUAUGAGUAAUGAACUAUCCUUUGUCUUGGAUCCAGGAGUUUCAUGUCUUCCACCAGCAUCCAUAAAACUGUGACAAACUAACAAGCUUACUUAAUCUACUUCCUUAGCUUGCAAGUAGACUUAAAAUCUUAGAACUUUCAUAGUUCUUGACAAUAUUCAAGGUAUUAAAAGAGAGACUAGAAGGACUGCAUGGUGGAAAAAAAAUGUACUCAGAAGAAAAAAGCUAACUGCGUUCAUUUGUAAAGAA
Molecule: long non-coding RNA, 3458 nt
Filed under: Homo sapiens (human)
Lineage: Eukaryota; Metazoa; Chordata; Mammalia; Primates; Hominidae
Description: non-protein coding lnc-DEK-1:1
Source: RNAcentral